CAGAGUCUAAUGGUGCCCUUAAAUCACAUCAUGGAGACAUCUGCUGGCACCGCCUGAUGCCAGCCCCAGAUCAAAGCUGGUUGCUGCUGCUGGGGCAAUUGGGCUUCAGCACUAAUGCCAUCAAUGCACAGGAACCUGUGUCCUUAAAGGACCUGAUGAAGACACUGUCUGUCCCUUGGAGGUCCCCAGCAAUAUGAGAAACUUGGAGCUCAGAGACAUCCGUUAACUUAAAGUGGCUGAAGGGGGACUCCAAUCAGGGCAACCCACCUUAGAGUCCUCUGCUGUCCACCACUGAGCUGGGAAAUGAAGACUCUGCACAUAGCAUUUCAUCUGGCUGAUCCUUGGAGUCCCAGUCUAAGCAGGGCAGAAUAUAUGACUGAAGUGAACUCCACUCGACCUUCAAAUCCAACCCCUCCGAAGAGAAUAUUCCAAGAAUCAAGCAAAACCUGGGAGGUCAAGGAUGUUUCAUCUGCGUUUCCCCAUUCUCUUAGAUUGUCUCUUCUUUCCUCAAGUCUCAUAGAAUCUGAGAGUUAGAAGGUUCUCAAAGGUCAUCUCAAGCACAAUGCUUUGUGAAAUUUGAAGUCCAGCUACAAUAUGCCCAAUAAGCAUUUAUCCAGACUCAAGAGUCCCCAUUGCUGGAGAAUUGGAAUUUAAUAAUACCAAACAUAGCCCAAUCCAUUUUGGAACAAAUCUACUUGUGAGGAAGUUAUUUUAUUGUUGUUUGUUUUACAGCAUGCUGUAGGUGGUCUCUUUGAAUUCCAUCUAAAUACAACUUUUUGUAGUACAGUACUGCAAAUCAUCUAUUCUAAAGAUGCAUAUGUGUUUACACUGUAUCUGUGAACAUUCAUAACAAUUGAAGACACUUCUGAUUGUGCUUGGCUGGGCAGCAGACACGACGUUGUUGCUUAUGCAUGUGUGAGACAGGCUGUUUCAGGUAGUGUGAUAAAAAUUCUCUCAAUAUUUCAGUCAAACUAUUUAAGAGUCUUUGGAAUAAGGAAUAUAAGCCUUCUAUGUCUUAAAAAAAAUUUAUGGAGAUUUUUUGAAAAUCAUGAAAGCACCAGAUUCAAAACAUUCAGAAGGCAUCUUGGAAGAAAAAAAAAAUCUCAGGAGACAAUAGUGGAGGACUCUAAACAAAGUUGUAUUACAGUAUUCUUAAGAGUAAAAUCAAUGGGACGAUAGAGCAAAACUGCUCAACUAAUAUACCUAAUUCAUAGAAUGUAAUAGCUAUUUAGGAAAUGAAACAUUUAUUGUUGAUUUAUGAUGUGCUACUAACUCUGCUAAGCCCUUUCCAUAUUUUAUUCUACUUGAUCCACCCCAAGACCUAAUGAGGUAGUUAGCACAGGGCCACUAUCCCUUAUCCAAAACUUUUAGGCCAAAUUUUGAAAUUCAUAACUAUUUUUAUUAUUUAAGAAUAUAUAGUAUAUGUAUUGUAUCUUGUUUAACCCCACCAGCAGGGUCUGGGAUAGCAUGCUGUAAUCAAACACAUUAAUAUUUUGCAACAAAAUAUGUGCAUAUUCACAGACUGUGGGAUAAAGAAAUAUCAUAGUAAGUCUCCAGUCUCCCGUCUCAUGCCAGUUUAGGUCAAAGAUGAGUUUGUGAUGGGCUUAUGAAAAUGUUUUCUGUUCUCAGGUAUUUGGGGAUUUUAGAUAUGCAAAUUAGUGGUUUGGAAUUUGUAUUAGUGUCUCCAUUUUGCUAAUAAACAAAGUGAGGCUUUGUAAGUAGUUCCCCCUGACGCACACAGCUCAGAGUGUGGAGUUGGGUCUGAGACAAUCAAGGUCUUAACAACGAUGCUUGGCUGCCUCAGUGAAGCAUCCAUCUGCCAGGAGGUUGGGGGUCACUGCCAUGGGCCCUGAGUCUUCUCUUCUUUAGACUGAUCACUUGCCCAUAACUAUCUCUAGACUUCUUGCCACAAUGGCUCUCCUUUGAACACCCCAUGGUUUCUCACUUCUUAAACCACUGUAAGUAUGAAGUCUCCAUGAGGGGAGACUUAACUAACUGCUAAUAGAAGAACAGAAAGAACAGAAAGGUGUGUGGAGUUCCACGCUCCAACAGCAUCUACCACUUGCUCAAUGAAGUUUUUCAAAAAUAAAAAUAUUUUCUAAGCAGAUGAUGUGGCUCUUUUAUCGUGCUCAUCAUUUUAGAGAGAAAAAGAUCAAAGAUAGAGCCACCAUAGGUUCCAAACCCAAGGUUUGGGAAACUCCAUUCCAGUUCUAUUAAAAUUGCAGCUUUUUCAUAUAAAUUUCCCUGGAGAAGAAAUAUCAUAGGAGUUUUAAUAAUAAUAAAGUACAGGUUCUGUAGCCAACUCAUCUGGUUUGAAUCUCGUUCUGACACUUCCUAGCUGUGUAAUCUUAAGCAAAUUACUUAACCUCUCUGUGCCUCUGUUUUUCUAACAAAUGGGGGCAAUGAUAUGACCUACCUUUGAG
Molecule: long non-coding RNA, 2423 nt
Filed under: Homo sapiens (human)
Lineage: Eukaryota; Metazoa; Chordata; Mammalia; Primates; Hominidae
Description: HSALNT0143502
Source: RNAcentral